RNAcentral lists this ribosomal RNA (1338 nucleotides) under Triticum aestivum (bread wheat). RNAcentral describes it as "partial small subunit ribosomal RNA". The record is from RNAcentral. Lineage: Eukaryota; Viridiplantae; Streptophyta; Magnoliopsida; Poales; Poaceae.
AUGGAAGGAGCUGUGGGUGCGUGGGCAUGGUGGCUGGGCCUCCUGUUCGGCGCCAUCCCGCUGCUCUGCCUCACCGUGUGGCAUUCCACCGACGCAUGGUACUGCGCCGCCUUCGCUCUCAAACACGGCGGCCGUGGUAGCAAUGGCAUCCGCCGGCGCCUCCCGCCCGGCCACAUGGGCGUCCCCUUUCUGGGAGAGACGCUCUCGCUGCUCUGGUACUUCAAGCUGGCACGCCGCCCGGACGACUUCAUCGGCGCCAAGAAGGCCGCGUACGGCAACGGGGCCGGGAUGUACAGGACGCACCUGUUCGGCUCCCCCAGCAUCAUCGCCUGCUCGCCGGCGGCCAACAAGUUCGUGCUCCAGUCAGCCGAAAGCUUCGGCAUCCGCUGGCCGGUGCCGGAGCUCGUCGGCAUCACGUCGGUGGUGAACGUGGAAGGCAGCAGCCACGCCAGACUCCGCGGGUUCAUCCUCGCCGCCAUCAACCGGCCCAGCUCGCUCCAGACCAUCGCCACCGUUGUGCAACCGCGUGUCGUAGCGGCGCUGCGAACGUGGGCGGAUAAGGGUACCAUCGUCGCCGCCACAGAGAUUAAAAAGGUGACGUUUGCCAACAUCUGCAAGAUGUUCAUAAGCAUGGAGCCAUCGCCUUUGACAGCCAAGAUCGAUCUGUGGUUCGGCGACUUGCUUCAUGGUCUGAGGGCAUACCCCUUUGAUUUUCCAGGGACAGCAUCUCACCGUGCUCGAAAGAGUCGCCGGAAGCUAGACACGAUCUUCCGAGAGGAGCUGGAGGCAAGGAAGAAGGUGAACAAGCAAUGCGAUGAUCUAAUGGGCGGUCUGAUGCAGAUGAAGGACGAGCAGGGAAAGAAGUUGAGUAAUGAGGAGGUGGUGGAUAACAUUGUUUCCCUUGUCAUCGCUGGCUACGAGUCCACUACCAUCGCCACCAUGUGGGCUGUCUACCACCUCGCAAAAUCCCCCGUCAUCCUUGCCAAGCUUCGAGAGGAGAAUAUAGCGAUGAGCAAAAGCAAAGGUGGGUCGACGUCGACAAGUUUGAUGAUCACCCACACCGACAUCCCAAAGAUGAAGUACACGGCCAAGGUGGUGGAGGAGACAAUUCGGAUGGCCAACAUCGCCCCCAUGGUCCACCGCGUGGCAAACAGGGACGUGGACUACCGCGGCUAUACCAUACCGAAGGGCUGGGCUGUGCUGGUAUGGUUGAGAUCCUUGCACACUGAUCCCAAUUACUACGAGGAUCCCCUCUCCUUCAAUCCUAACAGAUGGGAUGUAAGUAGACUAUCUAAAAUAGUGGCUUGCUUCAAUUUUUUGUCUUAUUUAGUUAUCUGA